This 465-nucleotide ribosomal RNA is filed under the name uncultured bacterium. RNAcentral describes it as "bacterial SSU rRNA". It matches the Rfam family "Bacterial small subunit ribosomal RNA", at positions 331 to 794 of the family's 1533-position model. The record is from RNAcentral.
CCAGACUCCUACGGGAGGCAGCAGUGAGGAAUAUUGGUCAAUGGUCGGGAGACUGAACCAGCCAAGCCGCGUGAGGGAGGAAGGUACAGAGUAUCGUAAACCUCUUUUGUCAGGGAACAAAGGCGGGGACUAGUCCCCGGAUGAGGGUACCUGAAGAAAAAGCAUCGGCUAACUCCGUGCCAGCAGCCGCGGUAAUACGGAGGAUGCGAGCGUUAUCCGGAUUUAUUGGGUUUAAAGGGUGCGCAGGCGGCCUGUUAAGGCAGCGGGAAAAGCCCGGGGCCCAACCCCGGCGGGCCGGCGGAACUGCCGGGCUAGAGUGGGCGAGAAGUGCGCGGAAUGCGUGGUGUAGCGGUGAAAUGCAUAGAUAUCACGCAGAACUCCGAUUGCGAAGGCAGCGCACCGGCGCCCUACUGACGCUCAGGCACGAAAGCGUGGGUAUCGAACAGGAUUAGAUACCCCAGUAUA